This 30-nucleotide non-coding RNA is filed under the name Rattus norvegicus (Norway rat). Lineage: Eukaryota; Metazoa; Chordata; Mammalia; Rodentia; Muridae. The record is from RNAcentral.
UAAUGAUGUGACUGGCCAGGUGCCUCUGUG